GGAUGUGAGGGCAAUCUGGCUGCGACAUCUGUCACCCUAUUGAUAGCCAGGGUUGAUUCAGCUGAUAUGGCUGGCUAGACAGGUGUCCUCUUCCUCCCUUACCACUCCAUGUGCAUCCCUCCUGAAGCUGUGCACUUGGUUGAAGAGGAUGACCACCCCCAAUAGAGGAGUACCCUUCUUUGAUCAAGGGUAUAUAAGUAGCUGUGCUCCCCUGCUAGAGCCUCCAAACAAGCUCUCAAGAUCAAGAAUGGAAAGACAAUAGUCUAAUGGAAUAUCUGUGGGUGAGGGAAGGUUAGGCUGGAGCACUCCCACUGGCUGCAUUACUCUAUUGACAGCUCUUAAAU
Molecule: small nuclear RNA, 344 nt
Filed under: Castor canadensis (American beaver)
Lineage: Eukaryota; Metazoa; Chordata; Mammalia; Rodentia; Castoridae
Description: 7SK RNA (ENSCCNG00000021241.1)
Rfam family: 7SK RNA
About the family: 7SK was discovered as an abundant small nuclear RNA in the mid-70s but a possible function has only recently been suggested. Two independent studies have found that 7SK RNA binds the CDK9/cyclin T complex (known as elongation factor P-TEFb).
Source: RNAcentral